UACGUAGGGUGCAAGCGUUAAUCGGAAUUACUGGGCGUAAAGCGUGCGCAGGCGGUUGUGCAAGACAGAUGUGAAAUCCCCGGGCUCAACCUGGGAACUGCAUUUGUGACUGCAUGACUAGAGUACGGUAGAGGGGGAUGGAAUUCCGCGUGUAGCAGUGAAAUGCGUAGAUAUGCGGAGGAACACCGAUGGCGAAGGCAAUCCCCUGGACCUGUACUGACGCUCAUGCACGAAAGCGUGGGGAGCAAACAGG
RNAcentral lists this ribosomal RNA (253 nucleotides) under uncultured bacterium. RNAcentral describes it as "partial 16S ribosomal RNA". It matches the Rfam family "Bacterial small subunit ribosomal RNA", at positions 524 to 776 of the family's 1533-position model. The record is from RNAcentral.